CAGUUGGUAGAGCGUUAGACUUUUAAUCUAACGGUCAGGGGUUCGAGUCCCCUACGGGGCU
RNAcentral lists this transfer RNA (61 nucleotides) under Necator americanus (New World hookworm). RNAcentral describes it as "tRNA-Lys". It matches the Rfam family "tRNA", at positions 13 to 71 of the family's 71-position model. From Rfam's summary of the family: Transfer RNA (tRNA) molecules are approximately 80 nucleotides in length. Their secondary structure includes four short double-helical elements and three loops (D, anti-codon, and T loops). Lineage: Eukaryota; Metazoa; Nematoda; Chromadorea; Rhabditida; Ancylostomatidae. The record is from RNAcentral.